GGCCUCGACCAUAUUUUGUUGAGGCACAAGUUGAGGCUCGAGAGGGAAAAGGCAGCGUCUCAUCCGGAGCCACGAGAGGAGACCAAGCUCUCGAUUUCACGUAAAGCAGCACGGGAAAAGGAGUUGCAGGAAGCUUGGGGUGGUACGAGCUUGGGGAAUGCCAUGAGGCCGCACCUCUCGAAACUCGAACUAGAUAAAGCUGCCUGGAUCAAAGCUGAAGAGGAGGAAAGGAGAAAAGCUCUCAAGGGGAUGUAAAUGCUGUGCUGUUACUCACAAACUCUCGUGUCAACCCUGUGAGUUACAUCAAAAAGCUCUGUGAAUUGCUCACAAACACUUGUGUCAACCCUGUGAAUUACAUCAAAAGCUCGGUGAAUUACUCACAAAA
Punica granatum (pomegranate) is the source of this 385-nucleotide non-coding RNA. NCBI's taxonomy places the organism in Eukaryota, Viridiplantae, Streptophyta, Magnoliopsida, Myrtales, Lythraceae. The record is from RefSeq and is a predicted model, not a curated record.